Molecule: ribosomal RNA, 234 nt
Filed under: uncultured bacterium
Lineage: Bacteria
Description: partial 16S ribosomal RNA
Rfam family: Bacterial small subunit ribosomal RNA
Source: RNAcentral
UAGCGUUAUCCGGAUUUACUGGGCGUAAAGGGAGCGUAGGUGGAUAUUUAAGUGGGAUGUGAAAUACUCGGGCUUAACCUGAGUGCUGCAUUUCAAACUGGAAGUCUAGAGUGCAGGAGAGGAGAAGGGAAUUCCUAGUGUAGCGGUGAAAUGCGUAGAGAUUAGGAAGAACACCAGUGGCGAAGGCGCUUCUCUGGACUGUAACUGACGCUGAGGCUCGAAAGCGUGGGGAGC